CUCAUGGUUUCACGGUAUUGCAAUGAGAACAAUUUAAAACCCUUAGCGAGAAUCAAGUGGAGGACAAGUCUGGUGCCAGCACCCGCGGUAAUUCCAGCUCCACUAGCGUAUAUUAAAGUUGUUGCAGUUAAAAAGCUCGUAGUUGAACCUCUGUCUGGGGCUAGUUUUGGCUUUGGUCAGGCUAGUUCUAGGCAUCCGCCUACAAGACUUAGAGGGCAUUCAGUUGUUCACUAGGAGGAGUAGGCAUUUUACUUUGAAAAAAUUAGAGUGUUUAAGGCAGGCAAUCGCCCGCAUAUAUUAGCAUGGAAUAAUAGAAUAGGACACUUUUCCAUUUCGUUGGUUAUUGGAAUCGUGUAAUGAUUAAUAGGGACAGUUGUGGGCAUUUGUAUUUAAUUGUCAGAGGUGAAAUUCUUGGAUUUAUUAAAGACAAACUAACGCGAAAGCAUUUGCCAAGGAUGUUUUCAUUAAUCAAGAACGAAAGUUAGGGGAUCAAAGACGAUCAGAUACCGUCCUAGUCUUAACUAUAAACUAUUCCGACUCAAUGUUUGACUGGCUUAUAUAACCAGUUGAGCGUUGUAUGAGAAAUCAAAGUCUUUAGGUUCUGGGGGGAGUAUGGUUGCAAAGCUGAAACUUAAAGGAAUUGACGGAAGAGCACAACCAGGAGUGGAUUCUGCGGCUUAAUUUGACUCAACACGGGGAAACUUACCAGGUUAAAACAAUAGUGGGAUUGACGGUUUGAGAGCGCUUUCUUGAUUGGUUGGGUGGUGGUGCAUGGCCGUUCUUAGUUGGUGGAGUGAUUUGUCUGCUUAAUUGCGUUAACGAACGAGACCUUAACCUGCUUACUAGACUGGCGAUCAUCAAUCGUUAGCUCUUCUUAGAGGGACUUUGGUUGUUUUAACUCCAAGGAAGUUUGAGGCAAUAACAGGUCUGUGAUGCCCUUAGAUAUCCUGGGCCGCACGCGUCAUACAAUGACUAGUUCAGAAAGUUUUCUCCUGGCCCGAAAGGGGAUGGGUAAUCUUGAUAAUACUAGUCGUGUUAGGGAUCGAUCUUUGCAAUUAUAGAUCUUGAACGAGGAAUUCCUAGUAAGUGCGGUUCAUCAGACCGUACUGAUUACGUCCCUGCUCUUUGUACACACCGCCCGUCGCUUCUACCGAGUGGGUGGUCCGGUGAGAUAAUUGAACUUCGCAGGUAACUGAGAGGAAAGAUUAUCAAACCUAUCCACCU
This 1224-nucleotide ribosomal RNA is filed under the name metagenome. RNAcentral's name for it is "SSU rRNA". It matches the Rfam family "Eukaryotic small subunit ribosomal RNA", at positions 493 to 1774 of the family's 1831-position model. The record is from RNAcentral.